This 73-nucleotide transfer RNA is filed under the name Bacteroidia bacterium. Its description in RNAcentral is "tRNA-Thr". It matches the Rfam family "tRNA". Rfam says of the family: Transfer RNA (tRNA) molecules are approximately 80 nucleotides in length. Their secondary structure includes four short double-helical elements and three loops (D, anti-codon, and T loops). The record is from RNAcentral. Lineage: Bacteria; Pseudomonadati; Bacteroidota; Bacteroidia.
GCCAUCUUAGCUCAGUUGGUAGAGCAGCUGAUUUGUAAUCAGCCGGUCGUAGGUUCGAGUCCUAUAGAUGGCU